UGAGGAACAUGACUUUCGGCGGGGGAUAGCCGGCCCAACGGCCGGGUAAUACCGCGUACGACCUUUCGGGGACAUCCCCGGUUGGUGAAAGCAGCAAUGCACCGAAAGAGUGCCUCGCGGCCUAUCAGCUAGUUGGUGAGGUAACGGCUCACCAAGGCGACGACGGGUANCUGGUCUGAGAGGAUGGCCAGCCACAUUGGGACUGAGACACGGCCCAGACCUCCGUACGGGGAGGCAG
This 238-nucleotide ribosomal RNA is filed under the name uncultured bacterium. RNAcentral describes it as "partial 16S ribosomal RNA". It matches the Rfam family "Bacterial small subunit ribosomal RNA", at positions 118 to 351 of the family's 1533-position model. The record is from RNAcentral.